CAUAAAGCAAUGCACUGAAAAUGCUUAGAUGGGUAAUCAUACCCCAUAAACA
This 52-nucleotide transfer RNA is filed under the name Prosciurillus leucomus (whitish dwarf squirrel). RNAcentral's name for it is "partial tRNA-Phe". The record is from RNAcentral. Lineage: Eukaryota; Metazoa; Chordata; Mammalia; Rodentia; Sciuridae.